RNAcentral lists this long non-coding RNA (988 nucleotides) under Homo sapiens (human). Its description in RNAcentral is "HSALNT0027504". The record is from RNAcentral. Lineage: Eukaryota; Metazoa; Chordata; Mammalia; Primates; Hominidae.
CACGGUGGUCACUCAGUGACCCUUCGUCCGAUGGUGAAUGUCUAAGGAAACAGUGAGUGGCUGGCGUGACUGCACACAGUCAACCGAUACCCAAGACCAUCUUCAUGCUUCCUCGGCGACAUGGCUUCACCAGAGAGGCUGCAUCUAACAGGUGUCGAAACCAUACCGAGAAGGAAAGGUGCUCCCAUGACUCACACUAGCACCGUAAAAGAUGAGUAAACCAAGGCUGAGAAAAGCUGCGUGACUUGGACAAGCCGUAAGACAAAUGAGCAGCAGGAGCCAAGACCUGUCCUCACCUCUUCUGACUGCAAGCCCAGCAUCACACCAACCUAGACCUUGGGAGGCUAAGCACUUGGAGGAUUCUUCCAAAGAGAAGCAGAAACCUACUUUCCCUACAGGCCUUAAUGAGCUACAUGAAACCCAUUGACAUAGUUUGGCUGCGUCCUCACCCAAAUCUCAUCUUGAACUGUAGCUCCCAUAAUUCCCAUGUGUUGUGGGAGGGACCUGGCGGGAGAUAAUUGAAUCAUGGAGGUCGUUUCCCCCAUACUGUUCUUGUGAUAGUGAAUAAGUCUCAAGAGGUCUGAUGGUUUUAUAAGGGGUUUCCCCUUUCACUUGGCUCUCAUUCUCUCUUGUCUGCUGCCAUGUAAGGCAUCCCUUGCUCUUCCACCAUGAUUGUGUGGUCUCCCCAGCCAUGUGGAACUGUAAGUCCAUUAAACUUCUUUUCUUUAUAAAUUACCCAGUCUCGGGUAUGUCUUUAUCAGCAGCAUGAAAACAAACUAAUACACCCAUUAAAAAGUUAAGAAUGUAUUGGUACUGGUUAUUUUGUUCAAAAAAUUUGUUUAACAUUCAUCCAUAUGGAAUCCUUAAACUUGAUGUGGAAACUGAAGUGUAAUCUCACAGUUUUCAAAUUUUUUAGUUUUAGUUUUCAGUUUUACUUUUAAUACUGUAAAUAUUGAUAGAUAUAACCCACAUAAACACAAGUUCUCUG